CAGCAGCCGCGGUAAUACGAAGGGGGCUAGCGUUGUUCGGAUUUACUGGGCGUAAAGCGCACUUAGGCGGACUUUUAAGUCAGGGGUGAAAUCCCGGGGCUCAACCCCGGAACUGCCUUUGAUACUGGAAGUCUUGAGUAUGGUAGAGGUGAGUGGAAUUCCGAGUGUAGAGGUGAAAUUCGUAGAUAUUCGGAGGAACACCAGUGGCGAAGGCGGCUCACUGGACCAUUACUGACGCUGAGGUGCGAAAGCGUGGGGAGCAAACAGGAUUAGAUACCCGUGUAGUCCCUGUCUCUUAUAC
Molecule: ribosomal RNA, 301 nt
Filed under: uncultured bacterium
Lineage: Bacteria
Description: partial 16S ribosomal RNA
Rfam family: Bacterial small subunit ribosomal RNA
Source: RNAcentral